Molecule: ribosomal RNA, 254 nt
Filed under: uncultured bacterium
Lineage: Bacteria
Description: partial 16S ribosomal RNA
Rfam family: Bacterial small subunit ribosomal RNA
Source: RNAcentral
UACGUAGGGACCAAGCGUUGUUCGGAUUUACUGGGCGUAAAGAGCGUGUAGGCGGCCACUUAAGUCCUGCGUGAAAUCUUGCGGCUCAACCGCAAGCGGUCGUGGGAAACUGGGUGGCUAGAGUUCGGCAGGGGAGACUGGAAUUCCUGGUGUAGCGGUGAAAUGCGCAGAUAUCAGGAGGAACACCGGUGGCGAAGGCGGGGUCUCUGGGCCGAUACUGACGCUGAGGAGCGAAAGCGUGGGGAGCGAACAGG